UUAAUAGUAAAAUCUGCUCAAUGAAAAUUAAAUAGCCGCAAUUCGUGCUAAGGUAGCAUAAUCAUUUGUCUUUUAAAUGAAGACUAGAACAAAAGAUUUAACAUUUUUAUUUAUUUAUUUAAUAUUUUUCUCAAAAUUAUUUUAAAUGUAAAAAAACAUUUAUAAAAAAGAAAGACGACAAGACCCUAUCGAACUUAACUUAAGUUAUACUGGGGCAGUAAAUUAAUUAUUAUUUUAAUAAAAGAAAUUAAUAUAAUAUCCAUUAUAAUUGAAUUAUCAAGUUACCGUAGGGAUAACAGCGCAAUUAUUUUUUAAAGCUCUUAUAUAAAAAAUAGAUUACGACCUCGAUGUUGAAUUAAUUACCUAUUUUAAGCAAAUUUUUAAAAAGGAAGUCUGUUCGACUUUUAAAUUAUUACAUGAUUUGAGUUCAGACCGGUGUAAGCCAGGUCGGUUUCUAUCUUCUAUAAAAUUUUUUACAGUACGAAAGGACCUAAGAAUAUAAUUUAAUUAUUUAAUUGGCAGAAAAAUGCAUUAGAAUUAGAAUCUAAAUAAACUUAU
This 558-nucleotide ribosomal RNA is filed under the name Agobardus gramineus. RNAcentral describes it as "partial 16S ribosomal RNA". The stretch from base 169 to 463 matches the Rfam family "Bacterial large subunit ribosomal RNA", at positions 2074 to 2646 of the family's 2925-position model. Lineage: Eukaryota; Metazoa; Arthropoda; Arachnida; Araneae; Salticidae. The record is from RNAcentral.